Zonotrichia albicollis (white-throated sparrow) is the source of this 8491-nucleotide non-coding RNA. The record is from RefSeq and is a predicted model, not a curated record. Lineage: Eukaryota; Metazoa; Chordata; Aves; Passeriformes; Passerellidae.
CCUCCAAACAGCCGAAAACCGGACAGGCUAUAAAAAGAGCAGUUGCCCAGUUGGAGGAAUUAAAGUUGUAUUGUGCUACUAAACCUAGGAAAAAGAAACACGAAACCAGUUUGGCUGAAGUGAGAGUGAUCUGCCUUGGGCAUCUUGCUAUGCUAAACAAGUGGACUGGUGUGUGAUCCAUAACCAGGACAAGAGCUAGGGGGUGGUGAUGGUGUAACCUCACUGUUUUCUGGUGUCUUCAGCUACUCUCCUCAUACUCUGUCACACAUCAGAAUCAGAAAUUAUGUAGAAAUUAUGUCCUAGCUACAGGAUUUUUGAUUCUGCUCUGUGACAUUGUUGCAGGAAAAUAUCUAACGGAAGUGAGGAUUUAAUCCAGAGAAAUAAUCCAUUGAUAUAGUGGAAGUUUUCCUGGUCAACUUUGAACCAAGCUGUUAAUUAAAUUCUCCCCUGAAGCUGGGAGUGAUUAGAAGUCUGUGAUGUCAGCCUGUGUAUGAGCAAGCUUGUUAGUUUCUGAUUACUCUACACUUGGAGGAAACCUACAGUUAUUUUUUUCUGUUACAAUCUUGUAGUCCUUUUCUCAUCUAUGCAAACAGUUUUGUGAACUUUGAGAAUAAUCCUCUGUGUGUUAAAAUGUAUUUGCUGAUGAAAUGUUAAAUCAAACGGCAGCUUGAAUAUUUCUAAAGGUCAGAGUUACUGAAGCAAAAUACGCACUGCAUACUCUUUUGACUGUCUUUUUUUCUCUUUCUUUUUCUUUUUUUUUCUUUUUUUUUGUAAAUUUAAAUGGAAUCUUGUGGUGUAUACACAAUGCUGCCUGCAAAAUUUGUAAGGAAAAUAUAAUUUUGUCCUACAGGAAUUAGCAAGCAUGAUGAUGUUUGCAUCUUCCAUUUACAACUCAUAGAUGUUCAAGAAGAAAACUUGAAAAAUCAUAAAAAUAUUUCCUUAGGAAAAGCCAAGACAAUUAUUAAUUCACAUUUUCAGUAUUUUCUUCAUCACUGUGUGGUUCCAGGAGCAUGUCUGGGUGAAGUGCUUCAGUGGCUCAAAUGAAAGAUGAGGUUUGGGAACUGCAAUUCUGCAACCGGGGCUGAAUGAUGCAGCAGCUGCUGCAGCUGAGGGAUUGCUGCUCAUGAGGCUCAAAUGAAUUCCUCUGGCUGCUGCAGCAAUAAAGCUUAUUAAACAUACCAGGUUAGACAAGGAGAAAUGUUCUGCAGACAUGCUUUAUUAUCUUGGAGUUGGACUGUGAUUGACCUUGUGAGUCCUUUCCAACUCAGAAUAUUCUAUGAUAUUCUAUGAUAUUUAAUUAGGAUGAUUCUGGGCUUAGUUACACCUGGAUGCCUGGCUAUAGUUAAUAUCUUGAAUCCAAUAUUAAUGAUUCUCUUCUGGUUGUAGGUGUAAAUGUUUGGAACAUUUACAAAAGUUCUGAGUAAAACAGCAAGCCAGUAGAAUUGCAUGGGAUUUGGCACUGGUGCUUUUGGAUAUACUGUGUUCUUGUGCAUUCAGGACAGAGAAUUGCACACUCAAAAGUAAAAAGUGACUCAGUAAUAACAUCGGAGGUGUAGAUGUCUUAAGGAUCUGCUCCAGGUGACAGACAAAAUGCCUGAGAGAGGACCAGAGAAUUUAAAGUCUUUAUCUUGGCUGCUUAUUCAGGCAGAUAUUCAGCCUUUCAGCAUGGAGGCACUGAAGCUGCUUCUCCCUGCUGGAGUCCAGGUGUCCUCAGAGUUUUGGUUCAUAGGUUCACCAUGGUCACAUAAGAAACAGGAAUGGUUAUUUAUUCUAUUCAAUCUCUGUUAUCUCCUCCCUUAUUAAUUUUAAGACUGACUUCCUCCAUUCAUCCAUUCUGUGCACAUUAUAUCACACAGAAUUUUUUCUUCUUCUUCUUUUGCCUUAUUUGCUAAUAUAAGGGAAAGAUGAUGGUAUAAUUAUUUCUGUCAAGGUAAUUAUUUUAAAACUUAAUUUCAUAAGAAGCACUUAUUAAAUUUUUCAACUGCAGCGGAUGAAAUUAAAGAUCUAAUCCUUCCUGUAUUCAGGAGGGAGAGGAUUACUCUAAUUUGCAUAAGUUUACAUUAAAAUAACAACAACAAAAAAGGACAAAAAUUGCAAUUCAAUGUAGACUAAUAUUUGAAAAGCAUUAUUUUUUUUCUUAGAAGGAUGAAUUUGGCUGACUGUGAUAUUCUCUUUUUCUUCUUCACUCCCAUUGCAAGACGUGCUCAGCACCUGAUGGACUUGAUCAGUUUGUAGUUAAGGGCUUGUAUCUCCAUCUCUCAAGUCAUUUAGUCAUUUGCCUCCUUUUACAUUGGUUAUCUCUACUUGAAGCAGACACUAGAUUUAUGCAAUAUAGAAGAAUAAAUGCUUGGCCCAUACCUGAAAGAAGACACAUGUUUUUGUAGUAGCCCCUGACUAUACCAUCCUAUAAGUCUUUUUCUGAUCUAAUAUUACUUUUUGUGUCUAUGUCAAUAACACUCUUAUGCUCUUGAUCAAAGUAACAAAAAAGCCCCACAUGAAAGCCACACACAGGUUGCACCAUAAAUGACAGGGUUGUAGUUUAUUAAUUUGACAGACUAUCAUCUAGACAGGGCGCAAGUUUGUAAUUAGAGGUUCUGCAGUGCAAGUCUCUGUUAACAGCAGAACAUCAACAUGCACAUGGCUAUACAUGCAGUGUUGCAGUAACUGAGGAAAAAGGAUGCAAAAGUCAUCUGUGAGGAUGCUGGUGGAGGCAGCCAGAAGGAAAAAUACCAUUUGUUUCUGCAGCUGUGAGGUUGCUCAGUCAUCAGCACAUUUUCAUUCUCUGAAAACACAGAAAUGAUUGCUUUCAAAUCCAAGUGCCUCUCUGACUCUUAAACAGAGUGUUCUGCACAAUCUGAUGCUAUGGAUGAUGCAUGGAUGCAGAAAUCCACUGAUGUGAUUUGAAUGUCUUUGAUGUAACUGUGAAUGGCAGGACCAGUUAACAGAAAUUAACUGCAUGUGUUUUUAAAUAGAGAGCUGAAACUUUGGGAAAACUUUUGCAAAAUACUUGUAUGCUUUACAUGCAAAAUUAUUUCUGAAAUUUAUUGACAUUUUAAUGAUUUAAAAUAAUUUCACUUAAAGGAGAAUAUUGAACAGCAGACAUAGAAAAAAACCCAUUUGUCACCAUGCUAAAAUUCAUUAACUUGAUGGAGUGCUACAAUCUGGACAACAUCAAAUUAUUGUAAUUAACAUUUGAUGUGACGUAAUCAGGCAGGAAAAACUGAGCCUCUUGUUUGCCAAUUUUUCUGCAUUUUUAUUCAUUUCUCCCAGUGGCUGAGACCCUCCAGCUCCUGUGAAUGGCCACUGUGACUGAACCUCCCCCCAGAUAUGAUUACGCAAUAAUUUAAAGUUAUAUAAAAGCCAAGAGGAUUGCCCAAACUGCUACAAUUCUGCACCAAUAUAUAUGAGUGGAGAUCCACAGUCUCUUGCUGCUGACCCCCUUGUGUUUGAUGGGGCAGGAAGAUGAGCCAUGUGAAAUACCUUUCCCCCUGCCUGACUUCUGCACAAUUGCUCUGCUGUAAGCAGUAAAAGGGGAGGUCAUCUGAAACCAGACCUUGUGGUGUGUGACUGUGGAUUAGCAGCUUUCCUUGGGGUGUUGUAAAGGAACUGAACCCUGCAGUGCUGGGCAGUGUGGGCAUCUGGACUCUCCUCAUGCCCAGUGGCUGUAACAGAUCCUCUGGGUAAUGAACAGACAUUUCAAACCCAUUCACUGUGAAAACAUAUGGAGUGAGGUGUAAUAUUUUGCACAAAGCAAAAUAUUUCAGUUUUUCAAUACACUAAAAUUUCAAUACACUAAAAUUUGUGUGUAUUGUUGGAGUGCUGCUGAGAGCAUAUGGUUUUUCUUGGUGACAGGGGGACAUCUUGCCUUUUGCCAUGAACAUGUGAGGAAGUUAUUUCUUGCUUUCUUUUUCCGAGUAGGUUUUGCUGAGCCAAACCAUCCUGAAAAGCUGAAUAGUGCAACAGGAAAUUACAGGAAAGGGAUUUUACUGAUCCUUGAAAACAUCUCAGUGUUCUUGGAACUGCAUGUUUUGUCAGACUUGCUCAGAUCCUUAGCAGAGGAAAGGGUAGGCAGUAAGAUUAGGGUAUUCACAAGGCUCUCAGCAGCUUCUGUCAAAAUAAACAUUGUUUUGUCAACAAAGCAAGCUAUAAUGCCUAUGUAUUGUAUAGAAGCAUCACUAUAUUUUCCUGGCAUAUUGCAACAGCUGUGGGAUUAGAGAAGAGUGCAAUCAUUUAAUCACAUGUGUGCGAGUUACAAUGAAUAGGUUUUGUUUUCAAAAAAAGCCUCAGUGAUUUUUGGAUCUAAAUUUACUUCUCUAGUGGCUUAGGUAAUAGAAUGAUAGAAUCAUUGGGGUUGGAAAGUACCUCCAAAAUCAUCAAGUCUAACCUUUGACCAAACACCACCUUGUCAACUAAACCAUGGCACUCAGUGCCACAUCCAAUAGUUUCUUCAACACUUCCGGAGACUUCACCACCUCCCUGGGCAGUCCAUUCCAAUCCUUAACAACCAUUUCUGGAAGUAAAUUCCUCCUGAAUUCCAACCUGAACCUCCCCUGGCACAGCUUGAAGCUGUGUCCUCUCACCCUGGUUGCCUGGGAGAAGAACCCUCACCUUGCUAAAACAUCCUUUUAGCUGGUUGUAAAGAGUGAUAAGGUUUCCCCUGAGCCUCUCUUCUCCAGGCUAAACAGCCUCAGCUCCCUAAGCUGCUCCUCAUAUGAAUUACUCUCUAGAUCCUUAAAAGAAAUGUGAGGUUUCACUAGAAGUCAGUGGUACUUAGGCUCUAAAGCUACUUACAUGCAUUUGAAGCUAUAUUCAGUGAUUUGACAAGCAAUUUAUGGAUAAACUAUUAUUUCUAAGCUAAACAGAAUUUCAGGCUAAUUUUAAGAUUAUUCUUAAGUGUCCCUAAAUCUAAUAAGAUAGAUAAGUUUAUCAUUGCACCUAUAAUUAUCCUAAUGUAUUUACAUGCCUUUUUGACACCUGUUUUAGGCUGUUUGCAGUGUUCUUAAUAAAAAGUUAGAUAUGAUCUACGUACUGUCAGAACGACUCCACACCAUGCACACCUCUGUAUAUAUAUACACACACCAAUCCAUUUCACUAACUGCUUUUACUGUUGCGUAAAAAAGCUUCUUUACUUUCUAGAAAUGGAAUCUGUUCUCAUUCUUCACGGGAAUGACUACCUCUCCCUCCUAGAUAAAUGGUGGAACUGGUAACCCAGAGCUUGCUUGGGAUGUGGAUAUCUGUUAAAGGCCUUCCUUUAAAUCAGGUAUGUAAAAAGAUUUCUCACAGCCCUGGGUAAUGCUUUAUCAUGGGGACUUUCUCAGGAUCUUGUUCAAGGGACAGGAACACAAUUUUGAUCAGUUCCCUGAUAACUAGCUCAGAUUUCUGGUUUCCCAGGUUCGGACCCUACUUGUUAUUUUACCAUCUGCAGAAAUUACUUGGGAAAACUUAGAGUUUAAUGUUUUAGAAUAUAAUAAUAUAUAUAAAGCAAGAUGGAGGUUUUAGGGUGGAGGCUGGUUCUUCUUCUUUACCUUCGUUUUCACCUUCCUCUUCAUGGAUUUGGGUUGUAUUGUGUAAUUGGAUAAAAAAGUCUGCAUUGCAGGCAUGGGUGGUUGGUUAUUGGGUUAAAAGUAAAAAUAAUUUCGGUGUCAUUUCUCAGUUGGAGAGUUUAUCCUUAAAAGAUCUUGUAGAGAGAGACACAUCUCCAUUUUUACCUUGUUAAAGUACUGUAGAACUCACAGCUUGUGAGACUGUAAUAUGGAUAAGAACUAAUAAACAUCUGAGUCCAAACAAGAAAUACCAUCUUGUGAUUUAAUCCCAACCUUGACAGCAAAGAAGCAAAGAAUCCAUUACUUUUCCACUUACAAAACGUCAUCCCAGAAUGUACUGGGACUGCAAGACUUCAUGGACUGAUAGAUCCCCAAACCAGUGGAAAAACUGCUUCUUAGACCGAAGGACAACCUGUAGGGGAAUAGAAUAUAAGAAAAUAAAGAUAGUGCAGAAAGUGAUCACACCCUAUGGAGUUGCAGCUGGGCCAAUUAUCAAACAUUAGGAGCAGGCCUGACCUUAACAGGCCACAGCUGUAACCAGUGAGAAGAAGAGUAAUAUAAAAGAGCAAGUAGGUUGGUUGAGAAGGGAGUUGGAGUCUCUUGUCUCCUUUGUGAAGAAGGAAGAGUCAGUGCUCUGGGGAGCAGCUCACAAGAAACAGCAAGAAGGUGAGAAACUCUUGUGAUAAGGAGACAACAGUAUAGAACCCCUGCAAUAAGAUGACAACAAAAACCUUUCUCUCUUUGUCUUGAUUUUGGGUGAGGACCUGAUUUGAGAUCUGCCUCCUAUGGAAAUAUACCCACAACAAAACUCCUGAAUAUAUUGCAGUGGGCCUCUCAGUCUCUUCUACAACAGCCCCACACACUGCAACAGCUGUAAGACGUUGCCAGAGGUUGUGCUCGGAGUGUGCUUCCCAUCCUGUCACUUACCCACAAUGUUCAACUCCACUCUGAACUCCAGGACCUCCUUUGGGUGUUCAUAUACAAGAGCUACAGCCUCUGUGUGCGAAGGACUUGGAUUUCUAAAAGCAUAACCCUAAAGGAUCCAAAAGGACAGAGAAAAUAGGACUUCUAAUGCAAGAGGCAGAAUGAAGAAUACUCAGAACCUCUCUGUACUUAAAGAAGGUGAUGCCAUAUGAUAGUUUCACUGCACUGAACAUCCUUUUUGCCUGAAAAACUAGUUUCACUGCACUGAACAUCCUUUUUGCCUGAAAAACUANUAGUUUCACUGCACUGAACAUCCUUUUUGCCUGAAAAACUAGUUUCACUGCACUGAACAUCCUUUUUGCCUGAAAAACUAAUUUUGUUAGAAGUUUAACUGGAAAUGACUUCUCUCUGGUAUCUUAAUUUCCUUGCAUUAAUUGGAAGCUGCUAUGUGGAAUUAUGUGUGUUAAUGUAUUUGGGGCCUUUAUUGCAGAUGCUCUGUGCUUAACUUGCAUGAGGAGUGGGCAAUUUCUCUUGCACUUUUUCUGAAUUCCUUUGGUGAAAACACUAGAAAUUUUGAUAGUACUUGACAGGCCUGGAAUAAAUGCAAUAAAAAUCAGCUCUUUAGUUUUAUAUUAUUGCUGAGUUUUUAGAUUCUAUAGUUCUUUCAGAAAACUUGGAAAGACCCACCCCCCCAAAACACCUCAACCCCCCUUCUAUUAAUUUCUUAUCCGUGAGUAAAUGGCUUCUGAUUUCAGUGUCAUGAGGCAACAAACUCUAGCAGGCUCAAGAGAAGUGUCACAGUGAACUUGCAUCUAGAUGUGAUCAGUGAUUUUCUCUUGUAGCUGAUGACCCUUUCUUUUUCCCCUCUAUGAAAAGACCAAAUCAGAAGAGGGUUACAGGGAGUACAGAGGCUAUUUGCAAUACUUCUUUCCUCCUUUUUCUUCUUCUUGUUCAUGACUUCUACAUCCUAAAUAGGUUUUUAAAGGUAUCCUCAGCACUUUGUCCUCUGAAUCAUGCAGGCACCAGUGGAAAAAUGCAAGUAUCUGUUACAUACUUUAAGGUGUGAUGUGGGAAAAUGUUGCAACUUUUUAAAAGGUUGCUGUUUCAGAGCAGUAAGGGAAAUAUAGUUCAAAAUAUCUUAGGCAUUUUAUAGAAUCAUAAAAUACAUUGAAAGCUAUGCCUAAAAUUUACUGAUUAACAAUAUUGUUUUUGUCACACAUGAAUACUUAAGGUAGAGAAAUGUAAUACAAAAUCAUCUGUGUAAAAAUGCUGUGCCACAUGCCUUAUGUGUUUAUAAUGCUUUUAAAUACACAAUAAAUAUUGUUAUUUAAAAUGGGAUUGUUUUAUCAAGGCCUUAAGGAUUUUAGCUGUGAUUUUCUUUGGCCUGGGGUUUGCUCUGGGCAGCCAUUUCGAGCAGAAGAGCCAUGUGCAACUUUUCAGGUUAUUUUGUAUUGAGUUUGCAGUAAACUGGAGCCUGCUGCAAAAGCCUCUAGGGAAGAGUUGCACAACCUUACUGUUUUAAGUCUUCCUUCUAUUUUAUCAUCUAAUAUUCACCUACUAGAAUGCUUUCUGCUCUACUGGCUCAGAGCAAGGGCACCAAGUUAACGUUAUUGCAACUUUUGGGGCUUGCUGGGCACCAGAUGAAUUAGCUGUGUGGGGAGAAAAAAUUUCAGAGACAUUUUGCAUGGCUUCACAAAGAACAUGCACAUUUAGCCUGCAAUUCUAUUGGUUCAAAUAGUAGGUAUUUGCCUUGUUCUAUUUUCCAAGCCUGUUUACAGCAAGGAUUCUGCCUCAGAGCAGCUGCCUUGUGGUUGCCACUUGACACCAUGCUGACAUCAGGUAUUUUUCUUUUUGAACAUUCUCUAACUUUUCCAGCCUGAGAAGUAAGCAGCCUGCCAAUCAGGCUUUGAUGGUAUCAAGAGGGCAUUGUGGAAAACUUGAUUGCUUGCUCUCUAUUGUUCACCCUCAUCCCUUUCCCCAGAAUUUUCUAUUUUUGGUGGAAUAAAACCUUUUUUUUGACCUUA